RNAcentral lists this ribosomal RNA (326 nucleotides) under uncultured eukaryote. RNAcentral describes it as "partial 18S ribosomal RNA". It matches the Rfam family "Eukaryotic small subunit ribosomal RNA", at positions 1470 to 1796 of the family's 1831-position model. The record is from RNAcentral.
CCCUUAGAUGUUCUGGGCCGCACGCGCGCUACACUGAUGCAUUCAACAAGCCUAGCCUUGACCGAGAGGUCCGGGUAAUCUUUGAAACUGCAUCGUGAUGGGGCUAGAUUAUUGCAAUUAUUAAUCUUCAACGAGGAAUGCCUAGUAAGCGUGAUUCAUCAAAUCGCGUUGAUUACGUCCCUGCCCUUUGUACACACCGCCCGUCGCACCUACCGAUUGAAUGGUCCGGUGAAAUCUUCGGAUUGAGACUUUGUUUUCUUCACGGAAAACGCUGUUUUAAAAAGUUGAUUAAACCUUACCAUUUAGAGGAAGGUGAAGUCGUAACA